AAAACCUCCAAUUUUGGGCAUCAUGUCGUUAUCCAGCAAAAUCUUUGUAGGUUUUAAUUCCAGAUGGUAAAUAGGAUACUCAACUCCUUUGUGAAGGUAAUGUAAACCCUCACAUACCCCUCUAAUUAUUUUGUAACAUGUAUGCCAAACAAGUGCACAUGGUUCAUCUAUAGAAGUAAAAGAAAAUGUGUAUUACGAAGAUGUAAAGUUUAGGGAUCAUUGUUCUUGCAUGCAAGAAUAAUAGUGUAAGUAAGUAGAGCAUAAUCACACUAGAAAGGUGCUUGUCAAAGGUUCCUCCCUCCAAGUAUCGAGCAUAAAUAUCUUUCUUCAACUCAGAGCAGAUACAUGCUUUCCAUUGUGCUCAACAAGCACCUGUGCUGUAUGAUGGCAGUAAGCAACCAACGGUAUGGUAUUUUGAUGUUGGACCCUCAUAUAAGAAUAUCAAACUCGUUGUUGAAUUCCUCGUCGUCAAGUUCCGACAUGAGAUGAAGCUUCUUCACAGCAAUGCAUUCCCCAUUGUCCCGUACUCCCUGUCAAAGCAAACUAUGUAUUAAGUCACCAUGGCUAACUGUUGCAUCCUUUAUAAGCUUUUCUAUGUGUGGGACAGAGCAUAUGGGUUGCUCUGCUGAGAACUUUAAUCACAAAGAUUGUAUUGCAAAAAUUGGAUCUUGAGUUAUCACCUCCAUACUAAAGAAAUAGGGAUCGAUUAUGCACUCCGGGGAAAAACCAUAGUACCUUGUAGACUACUCCAUGCCGACCACGACCAAUGAUGCGUUCCUCGGAGAAAUUGUCUGUGAUGUUGUUCAACAACCCGACUGUAAACUCGUACCGAGGAACCGGUUAGGGGUAGGGGUAGAGGUAGGGGUGGAAGACGUCCUUGACGGCGUCCUUCUUGGCGUCGUCCUUCUUGUCACCGUCGUUGACGGGCGAGACAGAGAAGAUCUCGGCGUUUGCAAACAACCUUCUCAGCUUGCCCACAACAUCGACGGGGUCGACCACGCCGGUGACGGUGAUCCUCCCACCCCGCAAGUCCGCAGCAAUCGCGUCGAUACCUUCACGUCAAACGAAUUCAGGAACAAGACUGGAGAGGAGAAAAAAAACCAGGGACAGGUAAGUAAUAGCGGUGGUACCAUGGAGAUUGGAGAGUGCUUUGAGCGCCUUCCGCUGCUGGCUGCUGUCGUUCAGCGCCACCUUCAUCACCAUCUUCCGCUGCGAUCCCCAUAGAGAGAACAAGCGCCAUGAUCAAGCAACAAAUUAACCCAUGGAGCAACCAGCAACAGCUACGGAUCAGCAAGAUUUCUCAGCUAAACUCACCUUCAUCAUGGGGCCAGCAAUCCAGCUAAGCCCACGGGGCAAAGAGAGGGGAAGGUGGAAGCGAACAUAGAAGUCGGCCAAAAAUCCAAAUGGUGCUCGAUCAAGUGGACAGAGUACCACAAAUAGUCAAUUAUUGGAGACGGAAAUAUAUUGCCAUCCGCAGCAUGGAGGACCACCUACAGCACUCCCACCAACCGCGUGACCACCAACGUGAUUAGCUCUUAUUAACGGAUUUAGAGCAUCUGCAGCCGGACUUGGCAAAUCCGGUCCCUCAAACACGUCCGCGGAUACUUUUUUUUCUGACCGGGCACCCCUCAAAUAACGCAAUCUAUAUCCGAAUACCUCAAAUUAGAAAUCUCAAAUCCAUAUUAUUACAUGCAACGUGAAACAUAAUCUAAGCGGAGCUCGUCCGUCCCUGCCGUGCCCAUGGUCGAUGCCGGCUGCACUCCCUAGAGUGUUGGCCUGGUCGCCACCAAGGUAGAGAAGAGUAUGGGACACGGGCCGGCUCACAGGACUCGUGGUGCCGCCGUCUCCCAUGCCCCACUCUUCCUCGUCGGAGCUGAGAUCGAUGAUGGAUCCGUCUUGACACGAGCCGGCAUCCACCAUGACGUUGUUGCGGCGCCCAGACUAUCGCCCCAUCCGAGGUGCCAGAGAAGGCGACUCCGCCUCGCCGACGUCCACCGCCGCCUCCCACGCCCGCUGCCUCGUACGCGGGGCACGCCACGCCGUGUUCUCGUCGGACGAGCCCCACGGUGCGUCCCGAUGCUCGGCGCCAACAGAUGGGUUGCGCGUCCGCCAACGCGUUUGGAUGCCAGACGGACCGCACCGCCUCCGGUGAGCCAGCGGCGACUCCCCUACCGUCGGAUCCAUGUACCAUUUGGGCGGACGCAAUGGAUUCCCGAUGAAAGGAGUCUGAGUGCUGCCGUGCACGGGCCGCCACCCAGGAGCGGCGAAGUGCAACCCGGACUGCCAUCUCCUCCUCGGGGCCGCAUGGGAUGAGCUUGGGGUCAAUAGAUCUCGAGGUGAAUGACUCGGAUCUGCUGCCGGCCAUGCUAGAGACCGUUGCUGGUGAGCUCGGGUGACGGAGGGGAGUGGAGUGAAGUGGCUAGGGUUUGGUUCGGCGAGCGGAUGGGGAUGAAUAUAUAUGUAGGGUCGUGUGGGCCAGCAUGGGCCGGGUCUGACGUGCGGGCGUGCACAGGCACGCCCGGGUGCCCCAUAUCCGCCCCAAAUUUGGGCUGGAUAUGGGGGUGCCGGUCAGCCCGAGCAUUUGAGGGCCUUUUGAGGCGCCCGUCUAGGUAAUAAACUCGCGACCAGGUAGUGAUCGGGCGGCCGGCCGGGCAUAUGGGGUGGGUUUGAGAGGUCGGGCUAUAGAUGCUCUUAGUAUAUAUAUUUUUUUGCGAGGGUAAACAGUUCUUUUCCGUAAGAAUAGGGUUACAAUCGACGGGCACAAGUUCCUCUGUGCACGGUGGUCUACAAUCUAGCCAUCUAGCAGUUGCAGUCUCAGUACGACUAUACAAUGUCAAUCGAUCUGCUACCAUAUUUCAUAUUUUGCUCACCCUUAAUUUUAUGUGGAGUAAACUCAUGAGGUACCAUAAGAUGUUUGAUCUCAGCUACCAAAUGUCCAGAUGUCGACCGGAACAAAUUGUCACUAGUUAGGGACGUCAAUGUCUUCGAAGAGUCCGUUUGGACAAUUAUAGAAACAUCAUUGUAUUGAGCCGCGAGCGUCAUACCUUGAAUGAGUGCAUGCAACUCAGCCUAUAGUGCGUCGUUGCAAUUAAACAAGCAACGAUACGCAGCAAAAAUCACACUUUCAUCAUGUCUCCUCAAGAUCAUGCUGGCUACAGCCGAGCCAUGUACCAAAGAAAAGGCCCCAUCAACUGAUAGUGCAACCUGAUUUAUGGGCGAUGGUGACCACGGCAGCAUGUUGGAAACCACUACAACACGAGUAGCCGGGCCUUCCUCCAUUAGCGGCAUCGUCUAGAUGAGAAUUAUUGCAUAUUUUAGUUCUCUAGAUUCAUGCAAAAACUUUUGUCGCAGGCGCGUGCAGUGGUUUUUGUCUAGGCUAUCAUUCACGCUUUGUCCCCCGCAGCCCGUGGUUUUCUUUCCUUCUGUAUAUACUGGGCCGUGCCCUGCCCUUCCUGUGUUUGUUGUGCGCCGUUUUCUUCCCAGCGCUGUAGCAUGGGCCGAAUGAUCGAAGAGUCAAGCCUUCCAUAUAAACUUGCAUGGUUGACAUGCACAUCAUGUGUGUGUGUGUGUGUGUGUGUGUGUGUGUGUGUGUGUGUGUGUGUGUUUUGCUUUUCAUCCCUGUCGUUUGCCUUCUGUUAUUUUUGUGAAACCUUUCUAUAUCUUGAAUAUUUUCACAUCAUGAAUUAUUUUCCGAAUUCGUGAACACUUUUCAAGAUUUAUAUUUUUUUAGAAAUGCUUGUUUUUAUUUGAAUUUGUGUUCAUUUCUUGAAUUCCAAAAAAGAAUCAAAUUUGUGAUAUUUUUAAUUCACAAACAUUUUAAUAUAUAUUUUUCUUAGUAAGAAUGGAUGAAUGAACCUUCUAUGUUAGUCAGUGUAGCAAAAAGAAAUUAUGCCGGUUCCGUGUCGACCUAGCCUAGUUGUGUGCACAUCUUUCGGCACACAACUCACGCGAUUAAGUUGCAUGUUGAUCCUCAACACACAAUUUGGGCUAUCCUUGACAUACAACUCGCCUGACCGGGUUGCAUGUCCACCCUUGACACACAUCUUGACCCUACGUAACCCAGUUGCAUAUCGAUCCUCGGCACGCAACUUGAUCCGACCAGUUGCAUGUCCACCGUUAAUAAUCCCGCUGCAACUUGGAGGCCCAAACCUUUUUUGUCCCAAUUCAAGUCCACCCUUCGACAUGCAACUAGGCCUGACUCAUUUUUUCUCUCCAUUUCAAGUCCACCAUCGACACCCAAUUGGAGGUCCCAACCGGUUUUUUCCAUAUGCAAUUUCACCACUGAUAUGCAACUGCCCCCCCCCCCUUGUUUUUUUGUCCUAAUUGCAAGUCCACUCUUUGAUAUGCAACUGGGCUUUUGUCCUAGUUGCAAGUCCAAUGUCAACACCCAACUGGGGAUGACCCGACACUUUUAUCCUAGUUGCAGGUCCACCUCCGACAUGCAGCUCGGCCCACAUGUUUUUGUCCUAGUUACAAGUCCUCCUUUUGAUACGCAAUCAGGCUAGACUCAUUUUUUGUCUCCCUUACAAGUCCACCCUUGACAUACAACCGAGGGAAUAUUGUUGUCCCAGUUACAAAUCCACCCUCCAGAUGCAACUAGGUUCUACAUUUUUAAUUGUCCUAGUUGACGGUCAACCCAUCGAUGCGCGACUGAGCCUAACCUAUUUUUUGUCCUUGUUGCAAGUCUAUCCUCGACAUGCAACUAGAGUCUGCCCGUUUUUGUCCGAGUUUCAAGUCGACCCCCGACAUGCAACUGGGACCGCCUUUGUUUUCAUAGUUGUAGGUCAGUUCAUUGAUAUGCAACUAGGCCUAACUCAUUUUUGUCCCAGUUGAAAUCCCACUCNNNNNNNNNNNNNNNNNNNNNNNNNNNNNNNNNNNNNNNNNNNNNNNNNNNNNNNNNNNNNNNNNNNNNNNNNNNNNNNNNNNNNNNNNNNNNNNNNNNNNNNNNNNNNNNNNNNNNNNNNNNNNNNNNNNNNNNNNNNNNNNNNNNNNNNNNNNNNNNNNNNNNNNNNNCAAGUCCACCUUCAAACACAUAGCUCGACCCUGAACCAUUCAUCUGGUUGCAAGUCCAUCCUUGGCACGCGAUCUGGCCCCGACCUUUUUUGAUGUAGUUGCAAGCCCUCCCUUAACAUGAAAUUGCCCUGAUAUUUUUUGUUUUAAUUGCAAGUCCAUCCUCGACAUGCAACUUUUUGUCUUCACCAAUUUUUAUCCUAGUUGUGAAGUAACACAUGGAGAGGCGAGAAUAAAGAAUGAUGCAUGCAUGCCAAAUUCUGCCUUUCAAGCCAUUCGUUUUGCACCUUACAAGAUUGUUGGUCGUUGUUGGUUAAUUUUUUUAUGGUGGUGUUGUUGGUUAAUCGUUACUCUUUUUUGAGAAAUCGUAAACAUUUCUUACUACAAAGCUAUAUAAAUUAAACAAAAGAUAAAAUUGAGGGGAAGAAAAAGUCACACAAACAUGUAACACACGACAGGGCGCAGGUCAGUGAGAAUUAAACGAAAAUCGACUCGCCCGGAAGAUCAACUCGGCGCAGCUGCAAAAUUGCCGUGUCAUAGUGAAAGCAUCAAAGGAGGAGACCCUCAAGAAGUGGGUGUCCGGCGGAGGGAGUGCUAGUGGCGGACGAGCCGGCGGUGGAGGCGGAGGUCGUGGCCGCAAACAAGGUGGAGGUCAUGGCCACGGUUCGCAAAUGCCAUCGUAUAGAUGCCGCAUGGCUGGAGCAUUACAAGGCUCCGCACUUCUACGCCGCAAAGCAGCUGCUAGGCACUCCCCAGUAGCCACCACCAUGCCGUUCAUCAUCAACGUCAACGCAGUGCCGCUGCUCUUCUUGGAGUAUUCUUCACCGCAGCCUGUCCGGGCGCAGACGACGGGCGGGGAGCAAAUAGGUGCCCGCACGCUGUUCGCGUGUAUGCCUAAAGCGGGUGAGCCGACCUACGACGGGGACCAAGAGAUGAUGGAGAUUAUUCAUGACGGAGGCGACGGAGGAGAUGCCAAUUAGGAUGGGCAGGUGGAAGACUCGGAUCCCACCCAGUCCGACAAUUACACCCAAACUGGCACGCAGCAGGCCAACACCCAGACGGGCACACAUCAGCCGGGCCGCUGAACAGCAGUAGGAGGAGGAGGAGGCGAAGGAGGAGGAGGAGGAAGACGACGACGGCGAGGAUGAUGAUCCGGAUGAUCUUGUCGGCGAUCCGAAGAAGAGGGGUAGAGAAGAAAGCUUCAAUCGAAGUGAAACCUAUUCAUAGCCAAGACCGCCACCGAGGAAGAAACUGCGGAUCCAACCGACCAAACAAAAGAACCGCCCAAGAAUAUUAGAAGAGGGUUCCAGGGAAAUUAGUGGGAGGAGGAGAGGACGAAGCGAGAUGGUGCGGCUGCCAAGUUGAGGAGAAGUUCGAGGACAUGUUGACGAAGAAGGAGGAAGCAUACGUCAAGCGUUCGGAUAUCCAGGAGGAGAAAAGGUUGAUCGUUAAGGCUUCCACCCUGCAUGUAUUUGAAACAAAUCGCUCUUUCUACCACACUAGCAGAUACAUGUUUUCCUUUGUACUCAACAAAUAUUUGUGAUGUAUGGUAGCAGUAGCCAACUAAACGUACAAUAUUUUCGUGUUGGACCCUCAUUAGAUUAUUAACCUCAUUCUUAAAUUGCUCAUCAUCAAUGCCCAGUUGAUGCAGUUUCUUAACAGCAAUCUCUUCUCCAUUGUCCAACACUCCCUGUUGAAAAUCUCUGUUUUUAUGGCACAUCAUUCUUCUAAUUAACAGUAGGUUUCAUAUGAAAUUCAGAAGUUGAAGUAAUACCAUACCUUGUAAACAUCUCCAUAUCCACCACUGCCAACUUUGUUCUGGUCAGAAAAGUCAUUUGUAAUACAUUCUAAGAACUCAAAUGCAAACUCCCUUGUGCUAUAUAGCUCAUCUAUAGAUGAGCACUCAACAAUAUCAAUCUUUUUCAGUCUUUGUAUGAUCUGAUUUAUAGUAGUCCUCUUCACUUGACUGGACUCCACGCAUUUUAGAGCUAUUUCGACGCAUGUUCUAACUUCACGUGAAGUAUGCUUCGAUAUUGUGCCCUGCAUCUUAUUUACCCAGAAUCCAUAUACCUGCAGAAUUGAAACAAUUCCUUAGCAUGCAUGCCUAGAUGAAUUGCACAACCUAAUAUUUGAAAAAAUUGUUAAAUUUCAUAAAAUACAGUAUUUUCAUACAUGUUCAAUAAAUUCUUUGGGUGGAAUAUCUGCAUAUUUGGUGUAGCUCUCCUUUCCUGCCAUUAUUUGCAAGAUUAUAAUGCCCAUACUGAAUACAUCAAAUUUUGGUGUGAUUUGCCGUUUGCUGAUGUAUUCUGGUGGCAUGUAUUACACUGCAUAGUACAAAAAGAUUUUAUUUUAGCUUCAUACAAGAAUCCGAUUACUUCUCAUGUUUAUUAACGUACCUUGUUUGCGCAACUUCUGAUGUAUUGAAGGUUUCUGUUGUAUCAAAGAGUCUAGAGAAGCCAAAACCUCCAAUUUUGGGUAUCAUGUCGUUAUCCAGCAAAAUCUUGUUAGGUUUUAAUUCCAGAUGGUAAAUAGGAUACUCAACUCCUUUUUGAAGGUAAUGUAAACCCUCACAUACCCCUGUAAUUAUUUUGUAACAUGUGUGCCAAGCAAGUGCACAUGGUUCAUCUAUAGAAGUAAAAAAAGUGUAUUACGAAAAAGUAAAGUUUAGGGAUCAUUGUUCUUCCAUGCAAAAAUAAUAGUGUAAGUAAGUAGAGCAUAAUCAUACUAGAAAGAUGCUUGUCAAGGUUUCCUCCCUCCAUGUAUUCGGAGCAUAAAUAUCUUUCUUCUACUCGAGCAGAAACAUGCUUUCCAUUGUGCUCAACAAGCACCUGUGCUAUAUG
RNAcentral lists this long non-coding RNA (7850 nucleotides) under Triticum aestivum (bread wheat). RNAcentral describes it as "long non-coding RNA (TAES_LNC002569)". The record is from RNAcentral. Lineage: Eukaryota; Viridiplantae; Streptophyta; Magnoliopsida; Poales; Poaceae.